RNAcentral lists this ribosomal RNA (253 nucleotides) under uncultured bacterium. Its description in RNAcentral is "partial 16S ribosomal RNA". It matches the Rfam family "Bacterial small subunit ribosomal RNA", at positions 524 to 776 of the family's 1533-position model. The record is from RNAcentral.
UCCGGGGGGUGCGAGCGUUAUUCGGAAUUAUUGGGCGUAAAGGGCGCGUAGGCGGCCUAGCAAGUCUGGUGUGAAAGCCCAGGGCUCAACCCUGGAAGGGCACUGGAAACUGUUAGGCUUGAGUUCCGGAGGGGAGGGGGGAAUUCCCGGUGUAGCGGUGAAAUGCGUAGAUAUCGGGAGGAAUACCGGUGGCGAAGGCGCCCCUCUGGACGGAAACUGACGCUGAGGCGCGAAAGCGUGGGGAGCAAACAGG